CAACCAUCAAGCCCCAGGCUUGUGUUGGAGCCCUGCGGCUGCCGCAGCCUCCCAAAACCAGUGGCGGGCUCGCUAUCACACCGAGUGCAGUAGUUUACUCUUCGCUCAGGGCGUGUGGCGGGUGCUAGCCGUGAAACCCCCCCAUUUCUCAA
Molecule: unclassified non-coding RNA, 152 nt
Filed under: uncultured Podospora
Lineage: Eukaryota; Fungi; Ascomycota; Sordariomycetes; Sordariales; Lasiosphaeriaceae
Description: sequence contains ITS2
Source: RNAcentral